This 1297-nucleotide long non-coding RNA is filed under the name Piliocolobus tephrosceles (Ugandan red Colobus). Its description in RNAcentral is "lncRNA (ENSPTEG00000018223.1)". Lineage: Eukaryota; Metazoa; Chordata; Mammalia; Primates; Cercopithecidae. The record is from RNAcentral.
GGAGAGAGGGAGGCACGCAUGCGCAAGACGUGAAUGGCGUAGGGGUUGGAGGUUUGGAAGGUCAGGAAGGGAAGGACUCGCAGGCAUAUUUACGAACGCAAAGUUGCUAGGAGUUGGUACCAGCAGUUGGGAGGUAGAGGUGGAGCUCAUGCGUAUUUGAGACAACAUCUUGAAGGUUGGGGAGAACGGUAAGGAGGAAGCGGCGCGCAUGCGUAUUUCAGACGAAGUGCCGGGGAGGGCAGGCGCUCAGCGUUCGGGUAACUAAGGUUGCAAAAUGGCGAGGGGGGAGGUAAGCUGUCUUUGCUUGGCCAUCUUGGGCUAGCAGGCCCUCCAGAGAACUACCUUUUUAGCUGAGUGAAGGGAUCAGUCAACCUGAGUUGGAGUUCUGUGCUGUGGCCAGAUCCACUAGAAAUUAACCCAGAAUCUUAGCCUCUCACUGGCCUAUCGGUGAUGCCACUUGCAAUCAGAAACUAUGCCACUGGUGAAGAAGUAUAUUGAGCCCUGCCUGGUUAACCUCCAGUGAGGUUAUUAGAGAAUUGAGAGAGGCUCAAAUCAGCAUCCUGCACCUAGUUAUCAAACCAUUGUGAAGUCUUGAUUCCUGGAUGGCCAGAAAACAUCUCAUUGGUCAAGAGCAACAUUAAGAUCUGCCUGUUAUCAUACUGAUGCUUCCUGCCCAGCAAGUUCAUCAGAGGAAGAGGAUGAAUUACGGUUGCCAUGGAUGUCCUUGUGAGGCAGUUGGGAAGCCUUGGCUGGAUUGUGAAGGAUAUUUGGAAAGUAUUUUAGAGUCCACCAGAUCCUCCAUGUGAAUGACCAUGCAGCAAAAGAAGGAGGGUCCUGUCAGUGAUUAAGGUAACAUAGUGAUUAAGGUAAGUAGGGGAAGAGAGGCUUACUUUGCCCUGAUUCUUGUCAGGGAGGCUCUCAGAACUGCCAUUUCCAGAGCAUAAGUGACAGGCCAGCACUUUCAAAGCCUGCAACUUAUUCUAUAAUAUAUCCUUCUUAAAACAAUUCAUGUAGAUUAUAUGCUUAUCCAGUCUGUGAUCACUCCUGCAGAAGAUCAGAAGAACUGAAAUAUGGGUGACAUAGGCUCUUACUUUUGUAAAUAUUUUGUUGAAACACAGUUGUGUUCGUUCAUUAUUGUCGAUGGCAGCUUUCAUGCUACAGCAGAGAUGAGUAGUUGGGAGAGAAACCAUAUGGACCAUGGAGUUUGAAAUAUUACUGUCUGGCCCUUCACAGAAAGUUUGCCAAUUCCUGGCAUAGGUUAAAUAAAUGUACUAUGUCUACAAAUCCUCCUCUCCCC